AAAAAGACAAACCUUGGAUUUUUUUGUCUAACUUUAACUAUCCGUCUCAUAUAAAAUUUUUUUAUAAUUCCUAUUUUCAUUGUUGUUAGAUGAUAAAACAUGAUUAAUAUUUUAUGCGUGACUUGUCUUUUUAAUUUUUUUCUAUAAUUUUUUUAAAUAAGACGGACGGUCAAACGUUGGGCACGGAAAUCAGCGUUCGUCUUUUU
Molecule: non-coding RNA, 206 nt
Organism: Oryza barthii
Lineage: Eukaryota; Viridiplantae; Streptophyta; Magnoliopsida; Poales; Poaceae
Source: Rfam